This 2483-nucleotide long non-coding RNA is filed under the name Salmo salar (Atlantic salmon). Its description in RNAcentral is "lncRNA (ENSSSAG00000090684.1)". The record is from RNAcentral. Lineage: Eukaryota; Metazoa; Chordata; Actinopteri; Salmoniformes; Salmonidae.
CGCCUGUCCGGAGCCGCCAGAGCCGCCCGCCUGUCCGGAGCAGUCAGAGCCGCCCGCCAGCCCGAAUCAUCUUAACCAGAAUGGAGCGCUCACAGCUUCUCACUGCUGGCUGUCUGGCAGCACUCUGAGCCUUGACAGUUAGUGUUGGCUGGCCACCCAUGCUGUCACUGUAAGUCUUUCCCUCCAAUGGAGAGCCAGCUGGCCUGGCUGAGACUGAUUCACAUUCCACCACCAGCACACUGGAGACUGCGAGAACUCUUGGAGGACAGAGGAGAGGAGGGAAGGGCAGGGGAGGAGUAGACAGGGGAGGGGGGGAUAGGGGAUGGCAUGAGAGGAGAUCGCAGCAAACAGGGGACAGCCUGAGAACGUUCGGCAACGUUCCCAUUAGGUCCCUUUAGGUUUUCGCCGCAACAUUAUCCCACUGAGAAUGUAGCGUGAUGGUCCCAAGGGAACGUUCUCUGGGGGACCUUUGUGCAGUUCCCUGUAAGUUCCCAAGACGUCACUAAGGACCAUGUCAGGAACUUUUUGACGUUCUCAUGACUUUCAUUUUACUAGUCAUUAGGACGUUGCGUGAUGGUCCCAAAGGAUCUCUGGGGGACAUUUUUAUAGUUCCCAGGUUUGUUCCGGGACGUUUUUAAGACUUUCUUGGGACAUUGUGUCAUGGUCCCUUCAAGGUACCCUGAAUGUUCAUGGGAUAUUCUCUCAUGGUCCCCUGGAAGUUUUCUCUAAUUCCUAGUUUGUCCCCUGGACGUCACCGAGGACGUUUUUAUGACGUUCCUGGGUAGUUGUGUUAUGGUCCCCUGAAGGUCUCCUGAACCUACUUGGGACGGUGUGUCAUGGUCCCUGGAGGUUUUUGUAACGUGAUGGUCUCAUGUGUCCCAAACCAUUAUAAGUAAAUUAAUGAAAUGAUAUGGAGAUUUUAAGGUAAGUAGUAGGAUGUACAGCUAUAAAGUGUAAAAUCUUUAAUCAAUGACAAUAUAAUUACAUUUGACAUGAUCACUUAGUACUGACUUUUCAAUAUGACCACAUGUAACUCAAAACCUCUGGAUUUGGGGUACGCUGACAUUUCUGUUGCGCACAGUGUGUAGAAUUUCUGAUGUCCCCUACACAUUCAUUACUUAUAAUACAUACAGUGCAUUUGAAACUAUUGAGACCCAUUCACCUUUUCCACAGCCUUAUUCUAAAAUGGAUUGAAUGAAACAAAAUCCUCAUCAAUCUACAUACAAUAAUGACAAAGCAAAAACAUUUUUUUUUUCUGCAAAUGUAUUAAAAAUAAAUAAAAAAAUACCUUAUUUAAAUAAAUAUUCAGACCCUUUGCUAUGACUCGAAAUUGAGCUCAGGUGCAUCCUGUUUCCAUUGAUCAUCCUUGAGAUGUUUCUACAACUUGAUUGGGGUCCACCUGUGGUAAAUUGAAUUGAUUGGACAUGAUUUGGAAACACCUGUCUCUAUAAGGUCCCACAUUUGACAGUGUAUGUGUCACGUCCUGACCAUAGAAAGCUGUUAUUUUCUAUGGUAGAGUAGGUCAGGGCGUGACAGGGGGGUGUUCUAGUUUAGUUUUUCUAUGUUGUCAGGUUCUAGUUUUGUAUAUCUAUGUUGGGUUUUGUUUGGGAUGAUCUCCAAUUAGAGGCAGCUGGUCCUCCUUGUCUCUAAUUGGAGAUCAUACUUAAGUAGGGUUUUUUUCCACCUGAGUUUGUGGGAGAUUGUCUUUGAGUCAGUGUUUGUUUCACCUCUGCGUCACGGUUUGUUGUUUUGUUAUUCAGUUUAUUUAUAUGUAUUGCAUAGUUUCACAUUGAAAAUAAAAUGUGGAACGACACACACGCUGCACUUUGGUCCGCUCUUCCUACGACAGCCGUGACAGAAUCUCUCACCACCAAAGGACCAAGCAUCGUACCCAGGAGAAACAGGAAUGGACCUGGGAGGAAAUUCUGGACGGGAAAGGACCCUGGAGUCAGGCUGGGGAGUAUCGCCGUCCGAAAGAGGAGAUUGAGGCAGCGAAAGCGGACCGGCGAUAUUACGAGGCACUAUACCAACUACGAGGCAAGUGCGAGAGGCAGCCCCCAAAAUUGUUUUUGGGGGGGGCACACGGGGAGAUUGGCAGAGUCAGGGUGGAGACCUGAGCCAACUCCCCGGGCUUACUGUGGGGAGCGAGUGAUGAAGCAAAUACCGUGUUAUGCGGUGAUGCGCACUGUGUCGCCAGUGCGCAUUCACAGCCCAGUGUGAUCUGUGCCCGCACCCCGCAUUUGUCGAGCUAGGUUGAGCAUCCAGCCAGGACGGGUUAUGUCAGCUCUACACUCGAGACCUCCAGUGCGCCUCCACGGCCCAGUAUAUCCUGUGCCUGCCCCACGUGCCCGGCCUCCAGUGAGUCUAUCCAGCCUGGUACGCCCUGUGCCUGCUCCACGCACUUGCCCUGAGGUGCGUAUUACCAGUCUGGCGCCACCUGUGCCAGCCCCACGCAUCAGGCCUCCAGUGCGCAUUCCCAGUCC